Molecule: ribosomal RNA, 437 nt
Filed under: uncultured bacterium
Lineage: Bacteria
Description: bacterial SSU rRNA
Rfam family: Bacterial small subunit ribosomal RNA
Source: RNAcentral
GAUGAACGCUGGCGGCGUGCUUAACACAUGCAAGUCGAACGAAGCACUUUAUUUGAUUUCCUUCGGGACUGAUUAUUUUGUGACUGAGUGGCGGACGGGUGAGUAACGCGUGGGUAACCUGCCUUGUACAGGGGGAUAACAGUUGGAAACGGCUGCUAAUACCGCAUAAGCGCACGGCAUCGCAUGAUGCAGUGUGAAAAACUCCGGUGGUAUAAGAUGGACCCGCGUUGGAUUAGCUAGUUGGUGAGGUAACGGCCCACCAAGGCGACGAUCCAUAGCCGACCUGAGAGGGUGACCGGCCACAUUGGGACUGAGACACGGCCCAAACUCCUACGGGAGGCAGCAGUGGGGAAUAUUGCACAAUGGGCGAAAGCCUGAUGCAGCGACGCCGCGUGAGCGAAGAAGUAUUUCGGUAUGUAAAGCUCUAUCAGCAGGGA